Molecule: ribosomal RNA, 242 nt
Filed under: Clostridium botulinum
Lineage: Bacteria; Bacillati; Bacillota; Clostridia; Eubacteriales; Clostridiaceae
Description: partial 23S ribosomal RNA
Rfam family: Bacterial large subunit ribosomal RNA
Source: RNAcentral
CUGCGAUAAGCCUUGGGUAGCCGCAAAUAGGCUGAGAUCCAGGGAUUUCCGAAUGAGGAAACUCACAUGGGUAACCCCAUGUAUCAUGCACUGAAUACAUAGGUGUAUGAGGGUAAACCCGGGGAACGGAAACAUCUAAGUACCCGGAGGAAGAGAAAGAAAAAUCGAUUUCCUAAGUAGCGGCGAGCGAACGGGAAAGAGCCCAAACCAGAAACUUGUUUCUGGGGUUGUGGAUAGAUCAU